RNAcentral lists this unclassified non-coding RNA (282 nucleotides) under plant metagenome. RNAcentral describes it as "partial contains small subunit ribosomal RNA, internal transcribed spacer 1, and 5.8S ribosomal RNA". The stretch from base 235 to 282 matches the Rfam family "5.8S ribosomal RNA", at positions 1 to 49 of the family's 154-position model. The record is from RNAcentral.
UAUCCGUAGGUGAACCUGCGGAAGGAUCAUUAUUGUAUAACCGAGGUGCGAGGGCUGUCGCUGACCCGAAAGGUCGUGCACGCCCGAGUGCCCUCACACACAUCCAUCUCACCCCUAUGUGCACCACCGCGUGGGUCCCCCUUUGGCUUGUUCGGAGGGGGGCUUACGUUUUCACACAAACUUUGUAUGCAGUGUAGAAUGUAUUUUUUGUUUUUGCGAUCACGCAAUCAAUACAACUUUCAACAACGGAUCUCUUGGCUCUCGCAUCGAUGAGAACGCAGC